CGUAGUAUUAAUGUACAAAAAAACCUCUAUAAAAUGGCGGCAUUUUAUCUAUUUAGAGGAACAUGUUAUAUAAUCGACAAUACACGAUUAAUUUUACUUAUUUUUAAAUUUUAUAUACCUCCGUUCGUAAAUUAAUUUUAAUACAUUUUUAAAAUAUUAUUAUAAAAUAUUAGGUAAAGGUGUAAACUAUAAAUAAGAAAUAAUGUGUUACAUUAAACCCAAUUUAAGAAAAAUGUUUUUAAAAACUUUUAGAAAAAGGAUUUAAGUGUAAUGUUAUAAUAAUAUUUUAAUUUGAAUUAGAUAACAAAUGUGC
Molecule: ribosomal RNA, 313 nt
Filed under: Mimetus sp. GH1407
Lineage: Eukaryota; Metazoa; Arthropoda; Arachnida; Araneae; Mimetidae
Description: partial 12S ribosomal RNA
Source: RNAcentral